Long non-coding RNA from Mastomys coucha (southern multimammate mouse), 303 nucleotides. RefSeq lists it as uncharacterized. The record is from RefSeq and is a predicted model, not a curated record. Lineage: Eukaryota; Metazoa; Chordata; Mammalia; Rodentia; Muridae. The transcript is spliced from 3 exons.
UGCUGCCAUGCUCCCACCUUGAUGAUGAUGGUCUGAACCUCUGAACCUGUGCUGGGAGGACAGGCACAUGUCCCUAUGUUCAAUGAACAUGAUUCUGGCUAUUGAACACAGAGAAACUACAGGCAUGUGGCACUAUGUUCAACUUAUUCAAGGCUGGGGAAUCAAAUAUAGGGAUUCAUGCUUUCUAGCCUCUUCUGUUCCCGCUCGCGGCAGUACGACGCUAACGACAACUGGAACCUAGCCCCCAGUGGGCUCUCUCCGGGAUGCUGCCUGGAGAGGCUGCUUCUACUACCAACACUCCUG